Molecule: long non-coding RNA, 634 nt
Organism: Tympanuchus pallidicinctus (lesser prairie-chicken)
Lineage: Eukaryota; Metazoa; Chordata; Aves; Galliformes; Phasianidae
Exons: 2
Source: RefSeq, a predicted model, not a curated record
CUUCUGCUUCUUGUCCAGAGCUGCACAGGCAGCAUUUGAUCGCUCCACGUCAAUCAUCAGGUCCUCCACCUCAUUCUGCAGCCUCUGCUUUGUCUUUUCCAGGGAAGCACAUUUGGCAUUCACGGCUUCAACGUGUUCCUCUGCCUCCUGCAGGCGCUGUGCCAGCUUCUUCCUGGAAGGUUGUAAGCACAGCUCAGACUUUGGGAGCAAAGUGGAGAUUUUUCUGUCUUUUUCACUACCGUACUGAGGCACUUCACAGUGUUCUCCCCAGAUGCACCUAAUGCAGAGCGUCUCCCAAACUUUAUUCCCUUUUCCUUUCCUCAAGUCUAGAAAUUCAUCAAUUCCUCAUCUCACUGCAUACAUCAUACACUGCCUUUGUCUUGCAUUCUAUCACAUUGCCUAUUUGUCCUUUUGAAACCACCAUCUCAACAGCACAAAUUUCCCUUCUUAUCACUCCUCUCCAAACUGCUAUUUGUCUUUUGCCCUUCAGUAUGUCAGAGAUUUCUUCAAAUUUCCACUACUUUCUACCAGCCUUCCCCUCCACAUACUUGGCCUCCUCCAGCUCCUCUGUGCGCUGAAUAGCGUCCGUCUCAUAUUUGGUUCUCCACUGGGCCACUUCGCUGUUGGCCUUGGA